CACCGGCGGCUCGAGUGGUGGCCACUUUUAUUGGGUCUAAAGCGUCCGUAGCCGGCUUGGCAAGUCCCCUGGGAAAUCUGGCGGCUUAACCGUCAGGCGUCCAGAGGAUACUGCCAGGCUUGGGACCUGGAGAGGUGAGAGGUACCUCAGGGGUAGGGGUGAAAUCUUGUGAUCCCUGAGGGACCACCAGUGGCGAAGGCGUCUCACUAGAACGGGUCCGACGGUCAGGGACGAAAGCUGGGGGCACGAACCGG
This 254-nucleotide ribosomal RNA is filed under the name uncultured microorganism. Its description in RNAcentral is "partial 16S ribosomal RNA". It matches the Rfam family "Archaeal small subunit ribosomal RNA", at positions 474 to 727 of the family's 1478-position model. The record is from RNAcentral.